UUCCGGUUGAUCCCGCCGGACCCACUGCUAGCGAGGUGGGACUAAGCCAUGCUAGUUGAGCGCACAGAACUAUGUUUGUGAGCGGCACACUGCUCAGUAACACGUAGCUAACCUACCCUUAGGACGUGGACAACCCCGAGAAAUUGGGGCUAAUCCGCGAUAGAUGUAUUGUCCUGGAAUGGUAUUACGUCUAAAGGUAUCCCAUACAUGUUUGGUAUAUGCCUAAGGAUGGGGCUGCGGCCGAUCAGGCUGUUGGUGAGGUAAUGGCUCACCAAACCUUUGACCGGUACGGGCCAUGAGAGUGGUAGCCCGGAGAUGGACACUGAGACAAGGGUCCAGGCCCUACGGGGCGCAGCAGGCGCGAAACCUCCUCAAUGCACUUACGUGCGAAGGGGCUACCUCGAGUGCCAUCUGAUGAAGGUGGCUUUUCCUAGGUCUAAAAAGCCUUGGGAAUAAGAGGGGGGCAAGACUGGUGUCAGCCGCCGCGGUAACACCAGCCCCUCGAGUGGUGGGGAUGAUUAUUGGGCCUAAAGCGUCCGUAGCCUGCCGUAUAAGUUUCCCGUUAAAUCCAGCGUCUUAAGCGUUGGACCGCGGGAAAUACUGUACGGCUAGAGAGUGGGAGAGGUCAGCGGUAUUCUGGGGGUAGGGGCGAAAUCCUUUGAUCCCCGGAGGACCACCAGUGGCGAAGGCUGCUGUCUAGAACACGUCUGACGGUCAGGGACGAAAGCUGGGGUAGCGAACCGGAUUAGAUACCCGGGUAGUCCCAGCCGUAAACGAUGCAUGCUAGGUGUUGGGUUGGCCACGAGCCACCCCAGUGCCGCAGGGAAGCCGUUAAGCAUGCCGCCUGGGAAGUACGAUCGCAAGGUUGAAACUUAAAGGAAUUGGCGGGGGAGCACCACCAGGCGUGAAGCCUGCGGUUUAAUUGGAUUCAACGCCGGA
This 939-nucleotide ribosomal RNA is filed under the name uncultured crenarchaeote. Its description in RNAcentral is "bacterial SSU rRNA". It matches the Rfam family "Archaeal small subunit ribosomal RNA", at positions 1 to 922 of the family's 1478-position model. Lineage: Archaea; Thermoproteati; Thermoproteota. The record is from RNAcentral.